RNAcentral lists this ribosomal RNA (422 nucleotides) under uncultured cyanobacterium. RNAcentral describes it as "bacterial SSU rRNA". It matches the Rfam family "Bacterial small subunit ribosomal RNA", at positions 358 to 795 of the family's 1533-position model. Lineage: Bacteria; Bacillati; Cyanobacteriota. The record is from RNAcentral.
GGAAUUUUCCGCAAUGGGCGAAAGCCUGACGGAGCAACGCCGCGUGAGGGAUGAAGGCCUCUGGGCUGUAAACCUCUUUUAUCAAGGAAGAAGAUCUGACGGUACUUGAUGAAUAAGCCACGGCUAAUUCCGUGCCAGCAGCCGCGGUAAUACGGGAGUGGCAAGCGUUAUCCGGAAUUAUUGGGCGUAAAGCGUCCGCAGGCGGUCUUUUAAGUCUGUUGUUAAAGCGUGGAGCUUAACUCCAUUUCAGCAAUGGAAACUGGAAGACUAGAGUGUGGUAGGGGCAGAGGGAAUUCCCGGUGUAGCGGUGAAAUGCGUAGAUAUCGGGAAGAACACCAGUGGCGAAGGCGCUCUGCUGGGCCAUAACUGACGCUCAUGGACGAAAGCCAGGGGAGCGAAAGGGAUUAGAUACCCCUGUAGUC